Molecule: transfer RNA, 69 nt
Filed under: Streptomyces pratensis ATCC 33331
Lineage: Bacteria; Bacillati; Actinomycetota; Actinomycetes; Kitasatosporales; Streptomycetaceae
Also listed under: 1 other name
Description: tRNA-Ser (GGA) (tRNA-Ser-GGA-2-1)
Source: RNAcentral
CGACCGCCUCAGGGCCGAGAGGGCCCGUUGGAGAAGGGGGAGCAGGUUCAAAUCCUGCCAUCUCGACCA